UACGUAGGUGGCAAGCGUUAUCCGGAUUUACUGGGUGUAAAGGGAGCGUAGACGGCCAUUCAAACCAGAUGUGAAAGCCCGGGGCUCAACCCCGGGACUGCAUUUGGAACUGUAUGGCUGGAGUGUCGGAGAGGCAGGCGGAAUUCCUAGUGUAGCGGUGAAAUGCGUAGAUAUUAGGAGGAACACCAGUGGCGAAGGCGGCCUGCUGGACGAUGACUGACGUUGAGGCUCGAAAGCGUGGGGAGCAAACAGG
RNAcentral lists this ribosomal RNA (253 nucleotides) under uncultured bacterium. RNAcentral describes it as "partial 16S ribosomal RNA". It matches the Rfam family "Bacterial small subunit ribosomal RNA", at positions 524 to 776 of the family's 1533-position model. The record is from RNAcentral.